UACGUAGGCAGCGAGCGUUGUUCGGAAUUACUGGGCGUAAAGAGUGUGUAGGCGGUGCUCUAAGUUCGGUGUGAAAUCUCUCGGCUUAACUGGGAGGGUGCGCCGGAAACUGGAGUGCUCGAACGUGGGAGAGGAAAGCGGAAUUCCUGGUGUAGCGGUGAAAUGCGUAGAUAUCAGGAGGAACACCUGCGGUGUAGACGGCUUUCUGGACUCGAUUGUGACGCUGAGACACGAAAGCGUGGGUAGCAAACAGG
This 254-nucleotide ribosomal RNA is filed under the name uncultured bacterium. RNAcentral's name for it is "partial 16S ribosomal RNA". It matches the Rfam family "Bacterial small subunit ribosomal RNA", at positions 524 to 776 of the family's 1533-position model. The record is from RNAcentral.